This 301-nucleotide ribosomal RNA is filed under the name uncultured bacterium. RNAcentral's name for it is "partial 16S ribosomal RNA". It matches the Rfam family "Bacterial small subunit ribosomal RNA", at positions 509 to 807 of the family's 1533-position model. The record is from RNAcentral.
CAGUAGCCGCGGUAAUACGAAGGGUGCAAGCGUUAAUCGGAAUUACUGGGCGUAAAGCGUGCGUAGGCGGUCUGUUAAGUCUGUUGUGAAAUCCCCGGGCUCAACCUGGGAAUGGCAAUGGAUACUGGCAAGCUAGAGUGUGUCAGAGGAUGGUGGAAUUCCCGGUGUAGCGGUGAAAUGCGUAGAGAUCGGGAGGAACAUCAGUGGCGAAGGCGGCCAUCUGGGACAACACUGACGCUGAGGCACGAGAGCGUGGGGAGCAAACAGGAUUAGAUACCCCAGUAGUCCCUGUCUCUUAUAC